AGUCGAGCGAUCUCUUCGGAGAGAGCGGCGGACGGGUGAGUAACGCGUGGGUAACCUGCCCUGUACACACGGAUAACAUACCGAAAGGUAUACUAAUACGGGAUAACAUACGAAAGUCGCAUGGCUUUUGUAUCAAAGCUCCGGCGGUACAGGAUGGACCCGCGUCUGAUUAGCUAGUUGGUAAGGUAAUGGCUUACCAAGGCAACGAUCAGUAGCCGACCUGAGAGGGUGAUCGGCCACACUGGAACUGAGACACGGUCCAGACUCCUACGGGAGGCAGCAGUGGGGAAUAUUGCACAAUGGGCGAAAGCCUGAUGCAGCAACGCCGCGUGAGCGAUGAAGGCCUUCGGGUCGUAAAGCUCUGUCCUCAAGGAAGAUAAUGACGGUACUUGAGGAGGAAGCCCCGGCUAACUACGUGCCAGCAGCCGCGGUAAUACGUAGGGGGCUAGCGUUAUCCGGAAUUACUGGGCGUAAAGGGUGCGUAGGUGGUUUUUUAAGUCAGAAGUGAAAGGCUACGGCUCAACCGUAGUAAGCUUUUGAAACUAGAGAACUUGAGUGCAGGAGAGGAGAGUAGAAUUCCCUAGUGUAGCGGUGAAAUGCGUAGAUAUUAGGAGGAAUACCAGUAGCGAAGGCGGCUCUCUGGACUGUAACUGACACUGAGGCACGAAAGCGUGNGGGAGCAAACAGGAUUAGAUACCCUGGUAGUCCACGCCGUAAACGAUGAGUACUAGGUGUCGGGGGNUACCCCCCCUCGGUGCCGCAGCUAACGCAUUAAGUACUCCGCCUGGGAAAGUACGCUCGCAAGAGUGAAACUUCAAAGGAAUUGACGGGGGACCNCGCACAAGUAGCGGAACCAUGUGGUUUAAUUCGAAAGCAACGCGAAGAACCUUACCUAAGCUUUGACAUCCCACUGACCUCUCCCAUAAUCGG
Molecule: ribosomal RNA, 930 nt
Filed under: Paraclostridium bifermentans
Lineage: Bacteria; Bacillati; Bacillota; Clostridia; Peptostreptococcales; Peptostreptococcaceae
Description: bacterial SSU rRNA
Rfam family: Bacterial small subunit ribosomal RNA
Source: RNAcentral